CAGCCGCCGCGGUAAUACCGGCGGCCCGAGUGGCGGUCACUAUUAUUGGGCUUAAAGCGUCCGUAGCCGGGGUGUGAAGUCCUCCGGGAAAUCUGGCCGCUUAACGGUCAGAAUGCCGGAGGAUACUCCCAGCCUAGGGAGCGGGAGAGGCCGAGGGGAUUCCCGGGGUAGGGGUGAAAUCCUAUAAUCCCGGGAGGACCACCUGUGGCGAAGGCGCUCGGCUGGAACGCGGCCGACGGUGAGGGACGAAGGCCAGGGGAGCAAACCGGAUUAGAUACCCGGGUAGUCCUGGCUGUAAACGAUGCGGACUUUGUGUCGGACAAGCUAUGAGCUUGUCCGGUGCCGGAGGGAAACCGUUAAGUCCGCCGCCUGGGGAGUACGGCCGCAAGGCUGAAACUUAAAGGAAUUGGCGGG
RNAcentral lists this ribosomal RNA (414 nucleotides) under uncultured microorganism. RNAcentral's name for it is "bacterial SSU rRNA". It matches the Rfam family "Archaeal small subunit ribosomal RNA", at positions 459 to 872 of the family's 1478-position model. The record is from RNAcentral.